Molecule: long non-coding RNA, 771 nt
Organism: Clarias gariepinus (North African catfish)
Lineage: Eukaryota; Metazoa; Chordata; Actinopteri; Siluriformes; Clariidae
Exons: 2
Source: RefSeq, a predicted model, not a curated record
GUAACCCCCCCGCCUGCUUCGGGUAACCCCCCCGCCUGCGUCGAGAUAUCCUGCCUACUGUCACGCCUGAUCCAGCAGCUGGUUGAAGUGGGAUGCGUCUUGUGAGCCCUGUCUGCCGGUUCUCUUUGUCCAAGUCUAGUCUGCGAGGUCGCUUAACAAGCUCUUUAGAUUUGUUUAAAGAGGUGGACAUGAUUGGUGUGGACGGAAAGCAAGAUGAUCAAAAGCGAUGAUUUUAUUUUAUUUUAUUAUUCUUUUGUUUUGUUUUUUUCUUUCCUUUUUUUGUGUGUCUGUGUGAAAUUUAAGCACAAGCAGCAUUGUCCUAAGUAAUGAGUGAAUCAUUGAUUUCUCGGCCUUUUGGCAAGUUCAGCUGUUUUAAUGAAGUUCAAAAUAGGAACUUUAAUCUAAGCUGAUUAUUUUGAACUCUCUUUCCUAAAGGAAGGUCCUUUUAACAGAUUUAAACCAAAACCGACAAAAUACAGUCCAGAACCUGCACUCUUGGACUUGUGUGUGUGCCAUUGGACUUUUGAUUCUGAAUUAUUUUAUUUUUGUGCCUUUUCAGAUUCCUGAAUAUGUGUGUGUGUUAAAAUUGCAGGUUUUUUUUCUGUAGAUUGUGACUGUUUUAGGCACUUUUUGUACCAUUUGUUUAAUUUAAAAGAAAAAUUUAAUCAGUAUUUAAUUAGUAACUUAAGUUCCCAGUGUUAUGCUGGUUUUGUUAUUUACUGUAAGAUGACUUGUGAUUUUAAAUAAUUACUAAUAAACUGUCUAACUGUU